GAUGAGAACGUAGCGAAAUGCGAUAAGUAAUGUGAAUUGCAGAAUUCAGUGAAUCAUCGAAUCUUUGAACGCACAUUGCGCCCGCCAGUAUUCUGGCGGGCAUGACUGUUCGAGCGUCAUUUCAACCAUCAAGCCCCAGGCUUGUGUUGGGGACCUGCGGCUGCCGCAGGCCCUGAAAACCAGUGGCGGGCUCGCUGUCACACCGGGCGUAGUAGAUUUUAUCUCGCUCAGGGCGUGCUGCGGGUUCCGGCCGUUAAAAAGCCUUUUUUACCCAAGGUUGACCUCGGAUCAGGUAGGAAGACCCGCUGAACUUAAGCAUAUCAAUAAGCGGAGGA
This 335-nucleotide unclassified non-coding RNA is filed under the name soil metagenome. RNAcentral's name for it is "partial contains 5.8S ribosomal RNA, internal transcribed spacer 2, and large subunit ribosomal RNA". The stretch from base 5 to 119 matches the Rfam family "5.8S ribosomal RNA", at positions 40 to 154 of the family's 154-position model. The record is from RNAcentral.